This 830-nucleotide ribosomal RNA is filed under the name Vibrio sp. BL63. Its description in RNAcentral is "bacterial SSU rRNA". It matches the Rfam family "Bacterial small subunit ribosomal RNA", at positions 102 to 926 of the family's 1533-position model. The record is from RNAcentral. Lineage: Bacteria; Pseudomonadati; Pseudomonadota; Gammaproteobacteria; Vibrionales; Vibrionaceae.
ACGGGUGAGUAAUGCCUAGGAAAUUGCCCUGAUGUGGGGGAUAACCAUUGGAAACGAUGGCUAAUACCGCAUGAUGCCUACGGGCCAAAGAGGGGGACCUUCGGGCCUCUCGCGUCAGGAUAUGCCUAGGUGGGAUUAGCUAGUUGGUGAGGUAAUGGCUCACCAAGGCGACGAUCCCUAGCUGGUCUGACAGGAUGAUCAGCCACACUGGAACUGAUACACGGUCCAGACUCCUACGGGAGGCAGCAGUGGGGAAUAUUGCACAAUGGGCGCAAGCCUGAUGCAGCCAUGCCGCGUGUGUGAAGAAGGCCUUCGGGUUGUAAAGCACUUUCAGUCGUGAGGAAGGUGGUAGUGUUAAUAGCACUAUCAUUUGACGUUAGCGACAGAAGAAGCACCGGCUAACUCCGUGCCAGCAGCCGCGGUAAUACGGAGGGUGCGAGCGUUAAUCGGAAUUACUGGGCGUAAAGCGCAUGCAGGUGGUUUGUUAAGUCAGAUGUGAAAGCCCGGGGCUCAACCUCGGAAUAGCAUUUGAAACUGGCAGACUAGAGUACUGUAGAGGGGGGUAGAAUUUCAGGUGUAGCGGUGAAAUGCGUAUAGAUCUGAAGGAAUACCGGUGGCGAACGCGGCCCCCUGGACAGAUACUGACACUCAGAUGCGACAGCGUGGGGAGCAAACAGGAUUAGAUACCCUGGUAGUCCACGCCGUACACGAUGUCUACUUGGAGGUUGUGGCCUUGAGCCGUGGCUUUCGGAGCUAACGCGUUAAGUAGACCGCCUGGGGAGUACCGGUCGCAAGAUUAAAACUCAUAUGAAUUUGACGGGGGCCCGCAC